Long non-coding RNA from Drosophila yakuba, 2021 nucleotides. RefSeq lists it as uncharacterized. The transcript has 2 exons. Lineage: Eukaryota; Metazoa; Arthropoda; Insecta; Diptera; Drosophilidae. The record is from RefSeq and is a predicted model, not a curated record.
ACCCUUUUACUCUACGAGUAACGGGUAUAACAAAACCAUACCAAUCCGAAGCGAACCAAACCGACAGCGACACCUAAACUGAAACAAAAAUAAAACGAAAUGGGAAAAAAUUUAAAUAUCUAUGCAGUUGGCAUAGCUGACAUACCCUAGACCAAAAAAAAUAAAAAAACCAAAAAAAAAAAGAAAGAAAACUUGGCAACGUUGCGUUUGAAGUGUCAAUUUUGAAAUGUGACUCGUUUCCAACGACUUUUCGGCUUCUUCUGUUGGCAAACUAACAAAAAUGUAUGAAUAACAUUCUGGCGAAAUCGGAAUGGGGGAAUGGGUUUUAUCUUUUGGCCGCCUAAAAAGCGGAAACUCAACGCCACAUUUUCGAUUUCGGGCGGAGUUCAGAUUCAGAAAGCUUCGAGAAAAACCUUUGCACCCAAUGUUUCACUAAUUCGAUGCAACGACCAAGUGCUUUAAUGCACUGCUCAACGCGAAACCAUUUAACAUUUCAAUGAACAGUGAACUAUUCGCCGUUUCUCUCCUCGUUUCUCGUCUCCUUUCGGCUGGCAUAUCAAUUAUUUGGCGGCCCAGUAUUUUAAAAUACAUUUCAAAACUCUGCAUACGAAAUGGGAAAGUGCCCUACGCAUUCGUUGGGUUGGGCAUGUUGGUAUUGUUGAAAGGUUCUGCGACUUUUGGACUUUGGAAAUAAAUAUAUCCAACGCACGAAAAAGGAUUACCGUGCAAAGAAGCAUAUCAAAAAUAAAUGUGCUUAAAUGAUUAUCAUUCCAUAAAUACAAUGCUUUUAGUUUUAUCAGAAAUAAUUCAUAUUAAAGUCAUAAAUUUGUUCAAUGAAAAAAGAAAAAUAUGAAAUACCUUUACAGGUCGAACCCAACAAUAUUACCCACAAUUAGGAGUCAGAUACUUUGGGUUACAUACAGGGGAUUCAUAGGAAUUUUAGACCCCAACUCGACUGCUCAUUGAUUCAUUGCGGUAUUUCGGCUUCAUAGCUUUUAGUCGAUUGAAAAGCAAGAAGCGCCGGGUGGUGGACGGUGGAAAGGGGACGGGGGUCUUUGGGGACCUGAAACCCAGGGAACCGACCUGGACUGAGACAAAUUUCAAUUCCACACCGCGUGAGUGUGCGUUAUAAAUUGCGUAUGCAGGGCCACUUGGUCAGUUUGUGAAUACAAAUCUACGCGCUUUACAUAAACAAGCGCUGAGGGGCAUGGGCACCCACCCCUCUGGAUUUAUGGUAAAUGAGCUGAAUGUGUAAUCGAUUCUAAGCCAGGUUGUUCAAAGUUUUUGUGGGCCCUUUGUAUUUUUUUUAUUUUAGUGGAGCUAUUCUGGCGAACCAUAAUUAAGAUUCAAUUCAAUGCAAUUGCAGGGCCAUAAAACACGGUCACCAAAUUGCAUUUUAGGCAAGGAAUUGCGUAUGCAAAGCGUCAGCUAAACAUUGAUGGUAAAUAAAGCGAACGAACGAACGAACGAAAUUGAAUUGAAUCGAAUUGAAUUGAAUUGCAUUGAGCUGCGUUUCGAAUUGGAUUUGGUCCGGUCAAAACGAUUGGGAACAUGACAGGCCGAAUGUAUCUGGCCGAGAAGAAAGUUCCGCAGUAAUUGUGUUGUGUGCGCUGUGCUAAUUGUCUGAAUUGAUUAAGCCGAUUGUCACAAAUUGUCAUAUGAUCCAAUUGGAAUAUGAAAUGAAUAGUUAAUGCUUUAAUGGGAUCGUCAUUAUAGCGCCGCCGGUCGAGUCAACUUUCGAAAAUAUGUGGCAUUUGGCUAACUCAAUUAUGUGGCUCCAACUCGUAUUAACUUUGCUUCUCGAGGCCCCUCGAGCUUGGGCACUUCAUUUUCACACCUGGGUGCCAUGUUUCUUGCCAAAAUUGCGUGACAACUUGUCUAAUUUCCAUCACGGAAUCUUCUCCACUGCUAACAAUAACUGCAGCUGUCAACCAGUCGAACGGUUCAUUGGCUUCUUGGUUGCAUUCGCUACCAAUAAUAACAACAAUAAACAGCGGAAUAAAAGUAAUGAAAACUCUUAA